RNAcentral lists this long non-coding RNA (378 nucleotides) under Hordeum vulgare. Its description in RNAcentral is "long non-coding RNA (HVUL_LNC020355)". Lineage: Eukaryota; Viridiplantae; Streptophyta; Magnoliopsida; Poales; Poaceae. The record is from RNAcentral.
UGAUACAUUAAGAUCUAAAUUAGAUAGUUUUCCCAAGCUAGCGUUAGAAGAAGAUUCUGUGCCACUUGUUGUUUGCACAUCCUUGGGAGGUCUUGCUGAAGGAAAAAUAGAAAACCCGUGAUCUAGUUUCUCUCUCUUGACAAGGGAACUUGAGUUGAUUUUGGCAUUCUCACGAGAUGCUAACUGUAAAUCUAGAGUUAGAAACUUGUGACCCUGUGAUCUGGCAGCGGGAGCAACACUCCCUAGUCCACCACUCUCUCCACGAGAGGAGGUCUCAUUUGAGCCAUUAAGUAGCACGCCUUUCUUCUCGUUCGUUGCUGGAGUAAAACAUCUACUGGGAAUAUCUGAUUUAGAUCUAUUCAAGACAGGCUCAUUGCU